UAACUGCAUCUAAACAGUUCAGGUACUUGGUCUCCAGUGUGUCGACCCCAAACAAUGGAUAAACCCGUCCGUGGAAGGUACUAGAAAUUAGGAGGUGGACCUAGUUGGAGUGAGUCCCUGGGGAUGCGUCCUUGGAAGCGAUAUCUUGUCCCCCGUCCUUUGCCCUCGCUUGCCCCUCCCUAUUUCCCAGCUGCUAAGGAAGAUGGAGCAUCUCUGCUCCUAUCCUUGGGUAGUAGGCACUGAAACAGUUCCCUCACAUCUUGAGCCACGGCUUACUCCUUCAACUUGAUCUCAAGUAUUUUGUCAUAGUGUUGGAAAGCUAACAGAGAUGCCAGAGACACAAAGAGGAUUAAUGAUUCUCCAGUUGUCGCCUGAAAUAAUCCAUAAGAAAUCACGUAAUCACUUUCAAACCUAAAUGCAUGAUCAGAAGUGGAAAAACUCCUUUGUUUAAGAGCCUGCAAUCCAAGAAUGGCCAGUGGGUGGUGCCAGAGUACACCCAGUCUUCGGCCUGGAGACGGCUGUCAGCUGCAAGACAAAGCACAGUUUUUGUUGGACAUUCUCAUUUAUAGGCACUCAGUGGCCAAUGGAGUCAGGUUGUUCUGCUUUGGAAACUCUUGAACAUUCUUCCAUAAGUCUUGGAUCUUUUACCUCAGUUGUCAAUUUGACAUGAACCUACAAUCACCUGGAAAGAGGAAAUGACACCUGAAGAAUGACCGUAUCUAUCCUCCAGAGGUUCCUGUCACUGUUAGAAGUCAGCUCGUGAAUGUGACCAACAGGCUCCCUCGGCCUGUUCACUUUUUCAUCUUUUCUUCUGUCCUGGGAUUUUGAGUUAUGGACUAUGCAGCUCACAUUUUUAGAACAGAAAAUAUUUGUUAAGAGUCUAUCUCCAGAACCUGGCACAGUGCAUGGACAUAUUGGAAAUGCCCCAGUAGAUGUGCUCAAGAAUGGGUAAUUGCUAAGAGAACCAAUGCCACAUCCUCACCACCCAGCCUGGGCAUUUCUAACCAUUGCACUGGGCAAGACCCUGGAAACCUACCCCCUGAAGGUGUUAUCUGCAGCACCUAGGAGUUCAGCCUGCUAGAAGCCACCCAGAGACCAGCACAGGGAAGCAGUGGGGAAGCCUAACUGUUCCUCAGGAUUGCUCAGCCUCAUUAUUCAGUAAUGGGAACGCCUAAGGAGAAGGCUCUGGAGGGAGACCUUUUUAGUCAGCGAGGUCCCAGGGACCUUAGCUGCGAGGGUGAGAGCUUUCUGAGGAGACUCAUGAAAGUGCGAAGGAGGCCAAGGGUCGAGGUAGAGGCAAAUUAUAUGCAGGUGGUUGCUCUUCCUUCACUGUUUGAAAAAGUCACCUUCUGAGUGGUAGUCAGGACCUAACUGGGGUUCGCACUGUUCCCCAGGUGGACUGGAAGGGAGGCGUGUCUGAAUGUAUCGGAACUCAAGAGCCCAUUAUCCAUGUCAAUCGGUCUCAGAGGACCAGAAACAACCUAUCCCUGCUUCCUGAAAUUCCCUCGGGUCUGGCAAAGUCCAGGAGGUAAAGCCAGGGACUCAAUCCAAUGAGCCCAGCAGCCCCUUCCCACACCUUCAGGAUCCUGCCCAUGGGGGUUCUGGGCAAGAUGGACACAUAAGCAAGUUGAGAUAAUGUUGGGUGAGUGGUAGAGUCUGACAUGAGCUCAGGACAAGCUUCUUCCUUUUUGCACUAUGAUUCUGGGGUCACACGUGGCAAUCUCAAGGGAGACCAGACCGUCUUAUCUCUUCAGUUCUAUGUAACCCCAAGAAUAAGUUUAUCGAAUACAUAGUGAACCAAAGGAAAAGAUACAAAACAGGGAGUGGACAGAAUGCUCAAAACACCCAGGGGGAGCCAAUUUGUGAAGUCGAGGCAUCAACUGGCAUUCCUGAUUGAACUUUAUCUCGUGACUGGGCUUCCUGUGGCAGGGCUUCCACCUCUCUCUUCCACCGCAGGUAUUUUUCUAUCAUGGGAUAAACAGUAGUGGCCUCUGUUGGACAUAGUCUGCCUUCUUGCUGUUCUGAAGGACACAGUGUGUUUUUUUGGAGGCUGUUCUGCUGUCUCUGCUGACAGAGGUCCUUCCUGUCACGGAGUUAGGGAGGUCAGUGACACAGACAGGGCCCAGACAAAGGACUUUGGAAGGCAAUUUGAGGCAGACAUGCUUGAGUCUGAAAUGGGGGCAUCUCCUUGACUUCCAAAGCCAGCUCUUCUGUGAGUUCAAACAAUGCUCGACAAUUCACCGAUAUCAUAGACGGCAUUGACCUAGCAGUGCCCUGUAACCCAGAAGGGUUAAAAUCGGAAAGAGGGAGAGUCAGCUAUCCACCCCCACUUGGCAUAUGCAAGGGAAGCUGUCAGCAGGUUCCCAGGAUCGAAUCCUGUCCUACCAGAUUCCUCUCAUGGGUCGUCAAGACCCCAAAUCUUAGUUGCACAUCUCCUGUGCAGAGUUCCCAGGUGAUGCUACCAACACAAUUCAAGGAUUUGAUGUUUGCUGUAGCAAAGGUGGGAAAACCAUCUUUAAAUGCAGAGCAAUGGCAAUAGCCAUACAGCCAGCACUCCUAGUGCCAGAGGCACAGACCUCUUACUAGUAGGCUAUUGGACUAUGCAGAUGACAAGCACAUUCUCCAAAUACAUCCCUCUUUUCUUCCAGGUUUAAUACUCAGUCGUGGAAGCUCUUUGGGAAGGGGCUGACUGCUGUUGACACUGUCUUCUGCUGGUCCCUUACUAGAGACUACUAUUUGCCUGAGAGUCUUCUUUCUCAUCUUGGAGUUGAGGUGCUCCAUGAAGCCCCUUUUUAGGCUCACACCCACAAACAUUGAAUUUGGAACACAGAUCACAGUUCUUAGAACCCCACAGCCCUGCUUUUCAUGACUGCCACGAGUCCUCUUGGUUCCUGAGUCUGUGUAGUACCGCGUAGUGAGUAGGUCCUGACCCUCUGGGAACCCGCCCUCUCCACCAGCUCUCCUGCUCAGAAGUUCCCCACAUUCCUUCCUGCAGUUGUCUCCUUCAAGCUCUCCUUCUCCAGGCCACUCUUGGUUACAGGACACAGUCACUUGUUUCAACUAUCAGACUGCAGAGGAGGGUAAUGUGACAGAGGAGAACGAUGGACAGAAAGAACAAUGGAGAGACAGAUGUACAGAGACAGAGAGCGUGGCCAGUCACAGAUGUGAAAGAACUUCUGAGCGGCUUCUCCCCAGUCUCAGGGAAUCACAGAGACCCCAGCAUCUAAUGAGAGCUAACAGUAGACAAGGACUCAUUGUCUUGCAUUCAUCGCUCAGUCCCUCGCUCACCUGACUCUCAGCUCCUAGAGAGUUUAUCACACACAGAUGAUCCACCCAGCUGGGAAUUUGUAAGAGUCUUGCUAAAAAAAAUAAAAUAAAGUGAGAGCUUCGAGGCAGGUGCUGACUAUAAUUAGGAAAACAGCCGUCUGCCCACUGGAGGGAGGUAACAACCGCAGAGUGGCCAGGAAACGGAUGCCCGAUGAGGGGGUGGGAGGAGAUGGCUGUAGAGCUCAGCAUCAGUGCAGACAGAAGGAUACAACCCAGGAACAGGAAGUCCUCCAGUAUAAACAGCUUGAGUGAAGGCUUGGAGGCCACCAGGCAAACCAGGCACCUGAUCAAUGGCAGUUAGCUGAAUACGGCAGAGAUGGACCAUCCAGGUGAAAGGGACAAGAAGCAGGACUUUCCGCCCAGGAUCUGGCCAGUGUCCAAAGGCUGGAUGGUGGAGAACCUGACUUCUGUCCCUUCAGUCUGGGCUCUUUUCAUACACCAUAUGCAGUUAUGCGGGUCUCAGUGGAGAUAAGCCACAGCUGUAAAAUACAUGUUGGAUUUCAAAGGCAGAGCAGCAAAGAAAAACCAAUGCUCAUACAUGCCUGUAAUAAUGAUUAUUAAAAUGGUUAUACUGAA
Long non-coding RNA from Mastomys coucha (southern multimammate mouse), 3903 nucleotides. RefSeq lists it as uncharacterized. Lineage: Eukaryota; Metazoa; Chordata; Mammalia; Rodentia; Muridae. The transcript has 3 exons. The record is from RefSeq and is a predicted model, not a curated record.